UACAGAGGUGGCAAGCGUUGUUCGGAAUUACUGGGCGUAAAGGGCGCGUAGGCGGCCAUCUAAGUCAGACGUGAAAUCCCCCGGCUUAACCUGGGAACUGCGUCUGAUACUGGAAGGCUCGAGUUUGGGAGAGGGAUGUGGAAUUCCAGGUGUAGCGGUGAAAUGCGUAGAUAUCUGGAGGAACACCGGUGGCGAAGGCGGCAUCCUGGACCGGUAUUGACGCUGAGGCGCGAAAGCCAGGGGAGCAAACGGG
This 253-nucleotide ribosomal RNA is filed under the name uncultured bacterium. RNAcentral describes it as "partial 16S ribosomal RNA". It matches the Rfam family "Bacterial small subunit ribosomal RNA", at positions 524 to 776 of the family's 1533-position model. The record is from RNAcentral.